This 207-nucleotide ribosomal RNA is filed under the name uncultured bacterium. RNAcentral's name for it is "partial 16S ribosomal RNA". It matches the Rfam family "Bacterial small subunit ribosomal RNA", at positions 568 to 774 of the family's 1533-position model. The record is from RNAcentral.
CGCGUAGGCGGCCUGCUAAGUCUGGAGUGAAAGUCCUGCUUUCAAGGUGGGAAUUGCUUUGGAUACUGGUGGGCUGGAGUGCAGGAGAGGAAAGCGGAAUUACCGGUGUAGCGGUGAAAUGCGUAGAGAUCGGUAGGAACACCAGUGGCGAAGGCGGCUUUCUGGGCACCAACUGACGCUGAGGCUCGAAAGUGUGGGUAGCAAACA